GACGAACGCUGGCGGCGUGCUUAACACAUGCAAGUCGAACGGAAAGGCCCUGCUUUUGUGGGGUGCUCGAGUGGCGAACGGGUGAGUAACACGUGAGUAACCUGCCCUUGACUUUGGGAUAACUUCAGGAAACUGGGGCUAAUACCGGAUAUGAGCUCCUGCUGCAUGGUGGGGGUUGGAAAGUUUCGGCGGUUGGGGAUGGACUCGCGGCUUAUCAGCUUGUUGGUGGGGUAGUGGCUUACCAAGGCUUUGACGGGUAGCCGGCCUGAGAGGGUGACCGGCCACAUUGGGACUGAGAUACGGACCAGACUGCUACGGGAGGCAGCAGUGGGGAAUAUUGCACAAUGGGCGGAAGCCUGAUGCAGCAACGCCGCGUGCGGGAUGCCGGCCUUCGGGUUGUAAACCGCUUUCGACUGUGACGAAGCGUGAGUGACGGUAAUGGGUAAAGAAGCAACGGCUAACUACGUG
RNAcentral lists this ribosomal RNA (468 nucleotides) under uncultured bacterium. Its description in RNAcentral is "partial 16S ribosomal RNA". It matches the Rfam family "Bacterial small subunit ribosomal RNA", at positions 28 to 507 of the family's 1533-position model. The record is from RNAcentral.